This 969-nucleotide ribosomal RNA is filed under the name Photobacterium halotolerans. RNAcentral describes it as "bacterial SSU rRNA". It matches the Rfam family "Bacterial small subunit ribosomal RNA", at positions 8 to 958 of the family's 1533-position model. The record is from RNAcentral. Lineage: Bacteria; Pseudomonadati; Pseudomonadota; Gammaproteobacteria; Vibrionales; Vibrionaceae.
AGAGUUUGAUCAUGGCUCAGAUUGAACGCUGGCGGCAGGCCUAACACAUGCAAGUCGAGCGGCAGCGACAUUAACAAUCCUUCGGGUGCGUUGAUGGGCGGCGAGCGGCGGACGGGUGAGUAAUGCCUGGGAACAUGCCUUAGUGUGGGGGAUAACCAUUGGAAACGAUGGCUAAUACCGCAUAAUCUCUACGGAGCAAAGCGGGGGACCUUCGGGCCUCGCGCGCUAAGAUUGGCCCAGGUGGGAUUAGCUAGUAGGUGGGGUAACGGCUCACCUAGGCGACGAUCCCUAGCUGGUCUGAGAGGAUGAUCAGCCACACUGGAACUGAGACACGGUCCAGACUCCUACGGGAGGCAGCAGUGGGGAAUAUUGCACAAUGGGGGAAACCCUGAUGCAGCCAUGCCGCGUGUGUGAAGAAGGCCUUCGGGUUGUAAAGCACUUUCAGCAGUGAGGAAGAUGUGGUGUUUAAUAGAUGCCAUCUUUGACGUUAGCUGCAGAAGAAGCACCGGCUAACUCCGUGCCAGCAGCCGCGGUAAUACGGAGGGUGCGAGCGUUAAUCGGAAUUACUGGGCGUAAAGCGCAUGCAGGCGGCGUGUUAAGCCAGAUGUGAAAGCCCGGGGCUCAACCUCGGAAUCGCAUUUGGAACUGGCAUGCUAGAGCCUUGUAGAGGGGGGUGGAAUUUCAGGUGUAGCGGUGAAAUGCGUAGAGAUCUGAAGGAAUACCGGUGGCGAAGGCGGCCCCCUGGACAAAGACUGACGCUCAGAUGCGAAAGCGUGGGGAGCAAACAGGAUUAGAUACCCUGGUAGUCCACGCCGUAAACGAUGUCUACUUGGAGGUUGGUGUCUUGAACACUGGCUUUCGGAGCUAACGCGUUAAGUAGACCGCCUGGGGAGUACGGUCGCAGAUUAAACUCAAAUGAAUUGACGGGGGCCCGCACAAGCGGUGGAGCAUGUGGUUUAAUUCGAUGCA